Molecule: long non-coding RNA, 386 nt
Filed under: Nicotiana benthamiana
Lineage: Eukaryota; Viridiplantae; Streptophyta; Magnoliopsida; Solanales; Solanaceae
Description: long non-coding RNA (NBEN_LNC019417)
Source: RNAcentral
GUGAAACUGUUGGCACUGAGAUCAAGUUUUCUGAGUCUUGAAGAAUUUGAGAUAGAAGCAGGAAUAAAGCCACUCAGAUUAUUCGUCGCACAAUUGAAUUCUACAAGGCUGGGCAUUCUAUGGCCUAAAUCUGAAGGUAGAGUACCUAAAAGCCUGUUUCCAUCAAAUGAUAGGUACUGCAUUGCUGACAUGUUGAAAAUGCUUGUAGGGAUGGAACCAAUAAAUUCAUUCCCGAAUAAUCCCAGCAACUGUAGUUUCUUAAGAUUACCUAGCUCCACUGGUAUCUCUCCUAUCAAGUGAUCAAGGGAAAUAUAUGAGUACCAAUCUUAGCGGAAAUGAGAAUAUUAUAUUUGAGAUUUAUUAUAAGGAAAUAUCAUAUUACCUUC